CCUGUCUCAGAGGUGUUCAAUAAAUGUGGAGGCGCACCUACUGAGAAUCAGUGCCAGAGUCUGGGCUUGGACCCAUGGACUUCAGCCUUUGCUGCAGCUUGGGUCAAGCAGGCCCCUACUCUUGGGUGCCCUUUGGACAAAGAUACUCCCCCUCAGGGCCUCUCCCCAAGCCUAGUUCUAGUAGGUUCUCUGGAAAAGGGUUGUGAAUUAACAGGCUUGUCCUGGAGGUAGCUCAACAAGGCAAGCAGAGCGCCCCUCCCCCCAUGCACACACACCCAGCCCCAAGAGAACCCUCCCCUCUGCAACCCACAGAACCUGCGCCUGUUGCUCCCUUUUCCAAGAGCCUGGCCCUGCUCUGCCUUCUUUCUCACUGGAGGAGACUGACACCCUCCCUUCCUGCUCAUUUCCAUCUUCCCCUGGGGCUGCACUGCCCAGACCACUACGGGGUUGAAAAGCAGACCCAAGGCCCGGGACAGGGAAUUAGAGAAGACAGAUGAAAAGAGUAAGAGAGGGCACAUCAUCCGCAAAGCAGCUUGGUGUAGUGGGAGAUGGGGAGGCCCGGUAUUUCAAGCCCCUGGCUUUGCACAGCGGUUUGGGCGCUAACCGGCUCCGUGAACUCUCACAUUGUAAAAUGGCUUUGGAGACCCUCUGCAGGUCUGUUACUCCCUGCCUAAAAAUCCUCCACUGGACCCCCAGUGUCCACAGAACCAAGUCAAAGUCGGAGCAAGGACUGUGUGUGGUGCUCUCCCCAAUCUGGCCCAGCUCCUCCAGGUCCCUCCACACACCUCACACUCCAGCCUCCCCACACCACCUCCUCUGACCAGGCACCUACUUUCACAUCUCAGAGCCCAUGCGCACACCAUUCCCUCUGCCUGCAAUGCCCUCCCCACCUAACCCUUUGCAACCUUUCCAGAGCUGCUCCUCUGCCCUUCUGUGGCAUUUUGGGUGAGCCUCAGUUUAGCAUGCAUUUCCUUCUGCUGUAUAUUGCCAGGAUCAGAGGCAAGUCUCUCUUCUCCCCAGCCUCUCCUCCCCCACCAUUUCGCCUCCUGCCUGAGGUUCCACAGGCCUCCUCUAUAGAGCUGAGCAAGA
RNAcentral lists this long non-coding RNA (1089 nucleotides) under Equus caballus (horse). Its description in RNAcentral is "lncRNA (ENSECAG00000056709.1)". Lineage: Eukaryota; Metazoa; Chordata; Mammalia; Perissodactyla; Equidae. The record is from RNAcentral.